This 468-nucleotide ribosomal RNA is filed under the name uncultured bacterium. RNAcentral's name for it is "partial 16S ribosomal RNA". It matches the Rfam family "Bacterial small subunit ribosomal RNA", at positions 28 to 507 of the family's 1533-position model. The record is from RNAcentral.
GACGAACGCUGGCGGCGUGCUUAACACAUGCAAGUCGAACGGAAAGGCCCUGCUUUUGUGGGGUGCUCGAGUGGCGAACGGGUGAGUAACACGUGAGUAACCUGCCCUUGACUUUGGGAUAACUUCAGGAAACUGGGGCUAAUACCGGAUAGGAGCUCCUGCUGCAUGGUGGGGGUUGGAAAGUUUCGGCGGUUGGGGAUGGACUCGCGGCUUAUCAGCUUGUUGGUGGGGUAGUGGCUUACCAAGGCUUUGACGGGUAGCCGGCCUGAGAGGGUGACCGGCCACAUUGGGACUGAGAUACGGCCCAGACUCCUACGGGAGGCAGUAGUGGGGAAUAUUGCACAAUGGGCGGAAGCCUGAUGCAGAAACGCCGCGUGCGGGAUGACGGCCUUCGGGUUGUAAACAGCUUUCGCCUGUGACGAAGCGUGAGUGACGGUAAUGGGUAAAGAAGCACCGGCUAACUACGUG